Molecule: ribosomal RNA, 392 nt
Filed under: Bacillus sp. 044-3.1-LH-A-09
Lineage: Bacteria; Bacillati; Bacillota; Bacilli; Caryophanales; Bacillaceae
Description: bacterial SSU rRNA
Rfam family: Bacterial small subunit ribosomal RNA
Source: RNAcentral
UGCCUAAUACAUCAAGUCGAGCGAAGGAUUAGAGCCUGCUCCAAAGAAGUAGCGGCGGACGGGUGAGAACACGGGGAACCUGCCCAUAAGACUGGGAUAACUCCGGGAAACCGGGGCUAAUACCGGAUAACACUUUGAACUGCAUGGUUCGAAAUUGAAAGGCGGCCUCGGCUGUCACUUAUGGAUGGACCCGCGUCGCAUUAGCUAGUUGGUGAGGAACGGCUCACCAAGGCAACGAUGCGUAGCCGACCUGAGAGGGUGAUCGGCCACACUGGGACUGAGACACGGCCCAGACUCCUACGGGAGGCAGCAGUAGGGAAUCGUCCGCAAUGGACGAAAGUCUGACGGAGCAACGCCGCGUGAGUGAUGAAGGCCUUCGGGUCGUAAAACAC